CUAGCGGCAGCCUUAACACAUGCAAAGUCGAGGGGCAGCGAUCUUAGCUUGGUUAGAUGUUCGGCGACCGGCGCACGGGUGCGCACCGCGUAUGGAACCUGCCUUUCUACAGGGGGAAAUAGCCCCAGGAAACUUGGAUUAAUGCCCCGUAGUACUAUUAUUUGGCAUCAUUUAAUAGUUAAAGCCUUCGGGCGGUAGAAGAUGGCCAUGCGUCCCAUUAGCUUGUUGGUAAGGUAACGGCUUACCAAGGCUACGAUGGGUAGGGGCCCUGAGAGGGG
This 278-nucleotide ribosomal RNA is filed under the name CFB group bacterium SI-9-3. RNAcentral describes it as "partial 16S ribosomal RNA". It matches the Rfam family "Bacterial small subunit ribosomal RNA", at positions 36 to 301 of the family's 1533-position model. The record is from RNAcentral. Lineage: Bacteria; Pseudomonadati; Bacteroidota.